ACAGCAGCCGCCGCGGUAAUACGAAGGGGGCUAGCGUUGUUCGGAAUUACUGGGCGUAAAGCGCACGUAGGCGGAUAUUUAAGUCAGGGGUGAAAUCCCGCAGCUCAACUGCGGAACUGCCUUUGAUACUGGGUAUCUUGAGUAUGGAAGAGGUUAGUGGAAUUGCGAGUGUAGAGGUGAAAUUCGUAGAUAUUCGCAGGAACACCAGUGGCGAAGGCGGCUAACUGGUCCAUAACUGACGCUGAGGUGCGAAAGCGUGGGGAGCAAACAGGAUUAGAUACCCCGGUAGUCCCUGUCUCUUAUAA
This 305-nucleotide ribosomal RNA is filed under the name uncultured bacterium. RNAcentral's name for it is "partial 16S ribosomal RNA". It matches the Rfam family "Bacterial small subunit ribosomal RNA", at positions 508 to 809 of the family's 1533-position model. The record is from RNAcentral.